GUAAACUCAAAUUUCAUGUCCAUAUUUCUAAUUUAAAAUUUCUCAUCAGAUAAUAAAUGUCCUGUCCUCCAGCUGUAUGCUGUGACCCUGAAUAUGGACUGGAGUGAAGGAUGUUCUAUGAUCAAGAGGCAUUCUUCCUGGAAGAACAAUUUAGAUGCCCUUAUAGAAGAUGAGAGUAGUGUGUGGUGGUACUUCAGAGCAGAAGGAAAACAACCAAAGUGGUCCAGGUGCUAGAGACCUCAGCAAGAACUUUAUGAAAGAGAAUGAAAAACGUCAGUGAAAACAUCCUUAUUAUUUUAGAAGAGUGUUUUAAAGGUUGCAUCUCAUCUAAGUUCCAAUAUAGACCUUAAUGCCAUCCCAGAAACUCUUAUUCCUGGAGAUAACUCUAUUGACAGGCGCUCAAUGGCCUUAAUUGUUUGAUCUCACUUGGUAACAGAUAGUAAUUCUUGAUAUUCAAAAGUAGAAAUAUAUGCAACUUUUAUUUCCUUAGUACAAAUCUUGUACUUCACAUUAGACUUAAAAAGUAUAGCAUAGUUUUGUACAUUUUAAUCCUCAUGGAUGCUUAAGUUUGUUUCUGACUCUGUGUAAGGUGUGUGUGUGUGUGUGUGUGUGUGUGUGUGUGUGUGUGUGUGUGUGUGUACAAUAUAUAUGUGUGAUGUGGGUGGGCAUAGCAGCACAUGUGUGCAUAUGUAUAUGGAAGGCAGAAGGCAAUUUCAACGUGCUUUGUUUCAAGCAGGGUCUUGUAUUGGCCUGAAAUGUUGCAAGUGACCUAGACUAGCUGGCCAGGGUGUCCAGAAAUCCACUCAACUCCACCUCUUCCAUCACUCUAACUGGAAUUGCAGGCAUGUGCUUCCACACCGAGCAUUUCACAUGGGUUCGGGGAAUUCAACUCAAGUCACAAACUUUGUAGGUUAAGCUAUAGUGACUGAAGUGCUUCCCCUUUCCUAACUUUAACAUAGUGUUUACUAAAUUGUUACUUUCCCAACUUUCCAGCAACAUACUCCAUGGAUUUCCUGUCUCAGAAGAGGAUUAGUUUUAAUUUCCCAUUGAUUAUAGCUGGUGUUGUUUGUUUGUUUGUUUGUUUGUUUUAAAAGACUAGCUUUGAGUUUUACUUUAUCCUCUUGGAAAACAAGACCCCAACACAUGAAGCAAUCAAUGACUGAGUGUUCCAAAUAUUGACUUUCUUGGUUUCUAUUUUCUCCUUACCUUUACAAAUAAGUACCAAUUUACAUAGUUUGGCAGUACUUAGGACUGUUUUAUCUUGCUUUUUUACCAAAAACUUUCAAUUUUUCUCAUAAUAUAUAUUAGCUAUGGUUUACUCAUAGUUCAUUUAUUUAUUAGCUGUGAAUUUAAAUAGCUCAGUUGUUAAAAUUCAAACCCAGCUAAAAACUAAAAUUAAAGCAUAUAAUAAUUUUAUCACAUGGCUACAUAUAUUGUUUCCUAUAAGCCAUUUGAUUGAUGUGACAGGCAUGCUGGCUCAUGUCUGUAACCGCAGCACUUGGGAAGGCCAAGAUGGAAUGAUAACAAGUUUAAGGCCAACUUGGAAUACAGAAGCAAGUAUUUGUUUCCAAAGAUGGAAAGGGAGGAAAUAUUUAAAUAAAUACACAGCGCUGGUACUGGACAUCACUUGGUAUCUUGAAAGAUGGGGAAAAGUUUUAGGGGAAAGAACAGCAUGGUUUUUUCUAAGUAGAAAUUAUUAUCCAACUGAAGUAUAAUACUAAUUAAAUGUACCAAUAAAUAUUAAUUCUCAACAUAAAAUAUACUGUUGCAGCCUCCGUGGCAUUCUCAUUAAAACAGGGAAUAAACCAAGACUGUGAGACCUGAUACUAUGUGACAUUUCUAGUUAAUCCACAGAGAAAAGCACUUAAACAAGAAAUAUGAUUAUUAGAAAGAGAAGCAAACCGUAAUUUAUAAGUAAAAGACCCAUUUAUUAAACAAUUACACAAAUCACUAGCUCUCUGGAUCAUAAAUAGCCACUGAAACAAUGCAAUGCUAAAAUCUAAAUAUAAGCAAAACUUGACAAAAUAGCCUCUGACAAAGCUAAUGUGUAGAAUCUACAUAAAGGAAACACUAGACCUUUGAUGAGGUGCUUAGACUAGCCCUUGAAUACACUGUAACUUCUGGAAAGCUAGAAUAUAUUAAAUCAUCAAUUAUUUCCACAUCCAUUCUGUCAAAUGCACAUGGAGGCUAUUAUUUGAAAUAUCAGAUUGUGAUUAUAAAAAUAACAGCAAAGAAGAAAUGAAACUGUCCAAGAAAAGCAUUGAAAAUAAGAUCAUUAUUAGAAAUGUAAGCAGUAGACAAUCUCUGUACAUGACUCCAAACAUGACAUAUCUUAUCUAUUUUAAAGAAAUAUAAACUUGUAAAAUGCUGAUCUCAAUUCCUGGUUUAUAACAGAGUAAACUCAAUUAUAGAGAAGUAACCUAUACAGAGGAAUUAAAAUAUUGAGAUAUCUGGUAAAAAUAUAUAAAAAUAUAGAAAAUUAUAUAUUGCUCUAUGGAAUACAUGUUUUAUAGUAAACAGCAAAUUACAGACAGUAAAAUGCCAGUUUUAAAGUCCUGGUUCAUAGCAAUAUGAAAAUGAUUGAAAAAAUUCAGUAAAAUAUUAGAUGCAUAUGUAUUCACAUGCUAUAUAGCAAUUUACCUAAAUUCAAAGGGGUACAGUGUGUAUUUAUAAUGGUAGAAUUUCAUAGAGAGUUCAGGUGAGUACUUGCAUAUAGCUAGGUCAAUUCCCAAAACU
RNAcentral lists this long non-coding RNA (2736 nucleotides) under Mus musculus (house mouse). Its description in RNAcentral is "long non-coding RNA chr2:16692247-16694983". Lineage: Eukaryota; Metazoa; Chordata; Mammalia; Rodentia; Muridae. The record is from RNAcentral.